This is a non-coding RNA of Heterocephalus glaber (naked mole-rat), 3940 nucleotides long. NCBI's taxonomy places the organism in Eukaryota, Metazoa, Chordata, Mammalia, Rodentia, Bathyergidae. The record is from RefSeq and is a predicted model, not a curated record.
CAAGGCAGGUGGUGGAACCAUUGAGCUAAAUCCCCAGCCCUACUCCUUUUCACUUUUAUUCAUGAUUUAUGAACAAAUUUUCAGAACACUGAGAUACAUAUUUUCAGCAUAUUUUCCUUUUUGUAAAGAUUUCCUAUUAUUUGUUGUGGCCAAUUUCCUUGAUUCAUUCGGCCUUCAUAUGAUUAGCAUGGCUGGCUUCUGCCUAAUUUUUGAGUGUAUAGUCACAUAUGAUAGUGAAGAAUUAUGUAACUAGCUACAUUUAUUCCAUGAAUGAAGCAUUGCUUUGCUGUGUGUUGUUAUAAACGAAGAAACUAAAACCAGAAUCAAGUCUUAGAUAUCAUUUCUUAGUUGUGUAAAUUUGAACUAAUUAUUUAAUUUUCCUGCACUCAUUUCUUCAUCUUUGAAAUAGGUUUGAUAACGUUAUCUCUUUCAGAGGUCGAUAGGAUCAUAUUAUUGUGACUGAUUCUCAAAGAGAGCUGGUCACGCAAUCUUGUUCUAAGACCAAAGGACAGACUGGCCUCCCUUUCUCUCCACCCAUUCCUUACUCUCAAUCAUGCCUCAGUUGUGCAAUCAGCUUUAAAAAUUCUUCCCUGAAUCAACAAGUGUCUUCUCAAAACUGGGAUAACAAGAUACACUGGUACCUCUGUCUGGGAGAGCUGGGAGAGUUUUUGUUUUUUUCAUUAUUUGAUUAUUUCAAAAGUCUGUUCUUCAAGCUUUGUUUGCAGUCAUUUACUGUUUGUUCUCAAAUUACCCGGUCAGAGCUGAAUCACAGUAUGUACAUUACUUGAAAACAGUUUACUUACACAUAUUGUACUCAGGUUUUUGGAAAGAGAAUUGGUUUUGUUCAUCUCUGGAAAUCUUAGAGGAGAAUAUGACACAGUUUGUGGAAUAAGAAAUAAAUGUUUUUCUUCUUUUCAACAAACACUGUAGGUAUAAGUACUGUUUUUUCUUAAAGAUAUAUUUUUUAAAGGGAUAUAUUUUCUUACGUACAUUUUUAAACAAGAGACAAGUUUCUGCCGUCAAUGCUGUCCUCUGCUUUACCAGCAUAAGUUUUCUAGCUCAGCCAGCUAGGGGAAGCAGAAGAGAAUUCUCCAGCUGUGCCAGAUUGACAGUAAGGGUGGUGGUGGUAUCCUACGGCCUGGAGUGUUCUGUACUAAACUGUUACUUUGUGUCAAAAGACAAAGACUUUACUACAACAAAUAAAGGUCAAUUUUUGUAACUUCAAAAAAAAAAAAAAAGAAAGAAUAAAGCGGAUUCAUGUCUGAGUCUUCCGAUCAUUUUAUUUGAUCUAAUUAAGGAUUAAUAUGUAUUUCUAUCUCAUAAAUUUUGUCAAAUUUAGAUCUUGAAUUCUAAAGGUGUGUGAAUUUCAUUUUUACUUACUUUUGUUGAGUUUCUAGGACUUUACCAUCGUGUAGAUUUACUUGCACUAACUGUGGCCUAUGAAGAAGUCCGUCCAAGUUCAGAUGAAAAUGUCACCGGACGGAGAUGUGAUGGAGACAAAAUUCAACAAUGUUUCUGUCCACGUAUAUGUGUCAAAGAGGAAAUCAGAUACACCAAGAAGGGUUGUGUGUUAUCCAUGGUGGUGGCUGGUGUUCUGGAAGUGGUGCUAGGUGGAUUCUUUGAGAGAUGUCUAUCACUGGAGUAGAUUGCAAAUGUUUUACUAAGGCUUUAUAUUGUGCUUUUCAGCAAAGGUAAUGCUGUCUUUUUGUCCUGCCUUGCUUUGACUUCUGUCAAGUUUUAAUGUUCCUCAAAGCUUCAAAUCAUCUUUUCCUACCCAUAUGAUACUUUUAAUCAUUUAACCAGAUAAAAGGAAGUAGAAAAUCUUCCAGUUUGUUGAAUUGUAUACCAAGGCAUUUCUGUAAUAUUCCGUUCAAUAUCCUAGAACCAUGAUGUUCCUUCAUUCAUUCAUUCAUUCACAUAUUUACUCUGCGUCCAGAACUCUUCCAGGCACCUUAAGUGAUCUCAGAGCAGACAAGAUUCUUCUUGGAGUUUAAAUUCUAAUGGAGGCCAUCAUUAGUCCAUUGAUACAUAAGUGAAUAAUACAGUGUUCCUUAAGGAAACAAGUGGAGGAAAUAAUAGAUCAGAGUAGUCAAGAUUAUUUGUAAAGGAGUAAAUCAGAAGUUGACACAUUGGAAAAAAGUCUCAGUACCAGUCAUGUUACAGAGAAAAUCACGGGAGUCCCAAUAUACUCAAUAUUCACUAAUUUGCAGGCAGUUAAUAGAAUGUAAAUCAACUGAAGGGAUUAAGAUUGAGCUGGCUCUAUAUUAUGAACUCUGGACUCCAAAGGAAAAAAAAAAGUUAACUCAAAGAAGAAAUGUUAAAGGCUCUGUGUUAAUCAACAUGUGCCAAAGGAUAUGAAAAAUUAGAACAAAAGUGUUAGGGGAGCAAAGCGGGUCUCUGAGAUGAAAUGAUUGUUCUGUUUCUGACAGAAUGACUGGGAGGUGAAGACAGAUGUUUGGGAAACAUAGACUUGUGUCUUGGGUAGAAGAACAAGCCACUAGGAAAGCAUUAAAAAGUGAUCAGAAAUGUCAAAAAGUAAAAAGGAAGAAAAAAAUAAGGUGAAAGCAUCAUAAAAGAGUGAGUAAUGAGACGAUGCCAAGUAAAUAGAAAAGAAAUAUAUGUAUGCUGAAAGUUAAAACUUUUAUGUUAAUAUUGCUUAAUGGAUUAAUAUUGUUAGAUGGGUAUUCACAUAGAAACUCAUUGUAAAUUUCAAAAAGUAAGAGAUAAAUCAUGAUUACUGACCUUUAUGGAACUUGUAGAAGAAUAAGUAAGAGAACCAUAGAUUAAAAGAAGAAUUAAGUAAGAGCAUUUUACUUGGUUUCUGUUUUUGUGGGAGAGAUAAUGAACAUGGUGGAAUUCUCUGUGAUGUUGACUCAGGAGGAUCACACAUUGGAACCCAGCCUGGGCAACUUAGCGAUUUUGUGAGACCCUGUAUUUAAAAAAAUAAUAAAAGAGCUGAUAGUAUAAGUCAGUUUGAAACCCCUAAAUUCAUUCCUCAGUAGUAAAAUAUAAUAACAAUAAUUGGUAGAAUAGGUAAAAAGAGAAUUAUAAACAGAAGUAGAUUAUAAAAGAAGGAAAUGAAGGGAAGAAUAUUUAGUUCAUUGAUAAAAUAAUUGGACUGGACUGAGAGGGAGAGACGGACAAAAGGAGACUCAAGUCUUUUUCACAGACAGGGAUAGAACAGACAUACCAGGCCUUAGUAAGUUGCACUUUUAGGACAGUGGGACAGGUGCAAGGAGAAAAUUUGAGAAUUUCAGCUUCUCAAGGGCUCACAACUCUAUUCCACUUAUAUUAAGGUUCUAUACAGGUACUGGUCAUCUGUCCUUUUGUUAUCAAAAAUCUGUUUAUACCUCCUUGGCUCCAUUCCAUCCACAUAUUCAAGUCAGUAACUUUCUGUCUUUAUUUGUAUAUGCAUGCAAAAGAACCAAGUCAAUUUUCUUUCAGCAAGGAAACUGGGAUCUGUUUUCCAGAUUAUGAAGCUGGUGAAAAAAUUACUGAUGAAAUGUGUAGAACAAAAAUUGUAAAGAACAAUUAGAAAUUUCAGUGGGAAAGUCCAAUUCCACUGUGUUGUAGAUAUGUAUUUUCUUAAGCUUUAUGUAAUUAUGACCUGAGAUCAAGAUGGACAGCAAAGAAACGUGAUGCUAUUUUAUCAAGCAAAUAGCAGCUGCAUUGUUUUAUUUGAAGGUUUCACCGACCAAGAUUCUCUAAGCACUUAGCCGGCUGAUGCAUGAUGAUACCAAAAAUAAAUGUUCCUCAAUGAUAUUGAAGGAAUUAAAAAAAACUAUCUCUAUCCUGAUUAUUAUGCAGGAAAAACAUCUGUUUGGGGUUGUGUGAGGGUGAGUGGUUGGAGUCCGUACCCUUUUACUGCUGGACCCACAUGUAUUUGUUCUUUGGGCAGGUAGGAAAAAGUGAAAAUAAAGACUUUUUCUCCAUAAGCUUA